RNAcentral lists this transfer RNA (72 nucleotides) under Camelus ferus (Wild Bactrian camel). It matches the Rfam family "tRNA". From Rfam's summary of the family: Transfer RNA (tRNA) molecules are approximately 80 nucleotides in length. Their secondary structure includes four short double-helical elements and three loops (D, anti-codon, and T loops). Lineage: Eukaryota; Metazoa; Chordata; Mammalia; Artiodactyla; Camelidae. The record is from Rfam by way of RNAcentral.
GUGGGUAUAGCUCAGUGGCAGGGCUCAUAUUUAGCAUGCACGAGGUCCUGGGUUCAAUCCCCAGUAACUUCA